UACACGCAGGCAGUGGCUUUCGCGAAGGUGUCGCUGCAGAGAAACACGUCCCGCGCGCCACGCCGUCUGUUUCUAGGGCAACCGCGGCGCCUCUUAGCAACCGCGCGCGCGGCCUAGGUGGGUCUCUCGAACCCCCAGCCCUGCCAUGGCGGCCGGGGGUCCUAGCGUCUUCCUACUCAUGGUCAACGGGCAGGUGGAGAGCGCCCAGUUUCCAGAGUUCGACAACCUCUACUGCAAGUACUGCUUUGUGUAUGGCCAGGACUGGGCCCCCACAGCGGGUCUGGAGGAGGGGAUCUCACAGAUCACAUCCAAGAGCCGAGAUGCAUGCCAAGCGCUGGUGUGGAACUUCCCCAUCGACAUCACCUUUAAAAGCACCAACCCCUUUGGCUGGCCACAGAUUGUGCUCAGUGUGUAUGGACCAGACGUGUUCGGGAACGAUGUGGUCCGCGGCUACGGGGCGGUGCACGUGCCCUUCUCACCUGGCCGGCACAAGAGGACCAUCCCCAUGUUUGUUCCGGAAUCUACGUCUAAACUGCAGAAGUUUACAAGGGAUGCGUGUGACGGCAUUCGGGGCCCUCCUGGACCAUCCAGGCCCUUCCCAGCCGAGCUCCUUGGCUCCAUCACGCCUGCGAAGGCCUCUUUUCUAGAUAAGGUCACAUUCACGGUUUCCAAGGACUGGGACUUGCUAUCUUUGGGGGCCAUUACUCAGCCUACUGUGGCUCCCCCAAUCUAGUCUUCACUAGCAACAAAAACGGUGUUCCCGGGACAGCUUUGGCCAUGCCCUUCCCCGCUCGAGCCUGCCCAGGCCCAUCCUGCGCCUUUAGCAUCAGCUUGGCUGGAAGGCUGCGCGCCCUGCUGUGGGGCUCGCUCCUCCGGCCCACUGGGUCCUUCCCGCCCCAGGCCCUUGCCUGGAACAUUCUCCCAACAGUCUGGCCUCUCACGCCCGGUCCGCCGGGCAGACUGCCCUGGUGGAGCCCGGGGAGAAUUAAAAACGCAGUGAGCAUGGUGGCUCCGUGUAUUAGCACUUGUGGCCCGUCGGGCUCAGUGGCACUGCUUCCGGUGCCCCAGUCCUCACAGCCGCCUCAGGUGGGUGCUGCCAGAGCCCUGCCCUAGGGUGGAGUCGCAGAGAGAGGCAGUGGCCCGCCCAGACUGUCCCCUUCUGGAGUGCGCACCCUGGUGUUUGUCUCCCUGUUCCCUCCCUCGCUGCGCCGCCCCGCGGCCGGCUGGGGCCGUCCCCUCGCUUCCCUUCCGAGACACCCUCCCCCGGAGCCCAGGGCCGGCGCUUGCCAGCGGGAGGGCUGGACGGUGGCUUGGACAGCCGUGCGUUGUCAUGGUUACCAGCGGGCCCUCCCCGCCCCACGGCCGCACCCGCGCUGGGAGCCUGGCGGGGCUGGGGGGUCGGCGUCCCCCCGGGGGAGAACACGCGGGCCGGGAGGAGCUGCGGAGCAGAGGGCGCCUGUUGCCCGCGAGUCCCUCCUGCGCGGCUGCCGACCCGCCCGGCCGGGAACAGUGCACCGGCUUCUUUCCGGCUCGAGUGGGCGUGUCGGAGGCGUGGCCUGGACGCCAGUCCCCGGAGCCGGCUCCGCCAGGGCUGUCCCCGGGCCCUCGUGGCUGAGGGCUGCGCGCCUAGCAGGACUGCCUGGGGAGUCAGAUGACAGUAUCUGUCACCGCAGAGCAUCCCAGGGCCACCGCCUAGGUAGGAAGGGUUUUAUCUGGCUGUUGACAGAGUGCCUUCACCCCACCGCCCCAUGAGCUGGUUCAUGGGACGGCGGCCCGAGUACACGGAUCCCAAGGUGGUGGCUCAGGGUGAAGGCCGGGAAG
This is an RNA transcript of Lemur catta (Ring-tailed lemur), 1821 nucleotides long. It is a transcript of the gene named B9 domain containing 1, with no coding region annotated. The transcript has 7 exons. The record is from RefSeq and is a predicted model, not a curated record. Lineage: Eukaryota; Metazoa; Chordata; Mammalia; Primates; Lemuridae.